Molecule: ribosomal RNA, 1091 nt
Filed under: Vibrio parahaemolyticus
Lineage: Bacteria; Pseudomonadati; Pseudomonadota; Gammaproteobacteria; Vibrionales; Vibrionaceae
Description: bacterial SSU rRNA
Rfam family: Bacterial small subunit ribosomal RNA
Source: RNAcentral
GGUAGUGUAGUUAAUAGCUGCAUUAUUUGACGUUAGCGACAGAAGAAGCACCGGCUAACUCCGUGCCAGCAGCCGCGGUAAUACGGAGGGUGCGAGCGUUAAUCGGAAUUACUGGGCGUAAAGCGCAUGCAGGUGGUUUGUUAAGUCAGAUGUGAAAGCCCGGGGCUCAACCUCGGAAUUGCAUUUGAAACUGGCAGACUAGAGUACUGUAGAGGGGGGUAGAAUUUCAGGUGUAGCGGUGAAAUGCGUAGAGAUCUGAAGGAAUACCGGUGGCGAAGGCGGCCCCCUGGACAGAUACUGACACUCAGAUGCGAAAGCGUGGGGAGCAAACAGGAUUAGAUACCCUGGUAGUCCACGCCGUAAACGAUGUCUACUUGGAGGUUGUGGCCUUGAGCCGUGGCUUUCGGAGCUAACGCGUUAAGUAGACCGCCUGGGGAGUACGGUCGCAAGAUUAAAACUCAAAUGAAUUGACGGGGGCCCGCACAAGCGGUGGAGCAUGUGGUUUAAUUCGAUGCAACGCGAAGAACCUUACCUACUCUUGACAUCCAGAGAACUUUCCAGAGAUGGAUUGGUGCCUUCGGGAACUCUGAGACAGGUGCUGCAUGGCUGUCGUCAGCUCGUGUUGUGAAAUGUUGGGUUAAGUCCCGCAACGAGCGCAACCCUUAUCCUUGUUUGCCAGCGAGUAAUGUCGGGAACUCCAGGGAGACUGCCGGUGAUAAACCGGAGGAAGGUGGGGACGACGUCAAGUCAUCAUGGCCCUUACGAGUAGGGCUACACACGUGCUACAAUGGCGCAUACAGAGGGCAGCCAACUUGCGAAAGUGAGCGAAUCCCAAAAAGUGCGUCGUAGUCCGGAUUGGAGUCUGCAACUCGACUCCAUGAAGUCGGAAUCGCUAGUAAUCGUGGAUCAGAAUGCCACGGUGAAUACGUUCCCGGGCCUUGUACACACCGCCCGUCACACCAUGGGAGUGGGCUGCAAAAGAAGUAGGUAGUUUAACCUUCGGGGGGACGCUUACCACUUUGUGGUUCAUGACUGGGGUGAAGUCGUAACAAGGUAGCGCUAGGGGAACCUGGCGCUGGAUCACCUCCUUA